This 375-nucleotide ribosomal RNA is filed under the name Decticus annaelisae. RNAcentral describes it as "partial 16S ribosomal RNA". The stretch from base 1 to 201 matches the Rfam family "Archaeal large subunit ribosomal RNA", at positions 1895 to 2143 of the family's 2987-position model. Lineage: Eukaryota; Metazoa; Arthropoda; Insecta; Orthoptera; Tettigoniidae. The record is from RNAcentral.
UUUAACAAAAACAUGGCCUUUUGAGUUUAAUUUAAGGUCGGGCCUGCCCCCUGAUGAAAAUUAAAGGGCCGCGGUAUUUUGACCGUGCAAAGGUAGCAUAAUCAUUAGUCUUUUAAUUGAAGGCUGGAAUGAAUGGUUUGACGAAACAUUAACUGUCUCCUUAUAAUUUAUUGAAUUUAACUUUUGAGUCAAAAGGCUUAGAUGGGUGUAAAAGACGAGAAGACCCUAUAGAUCUUUAUACAGAGGCGGGUUUGUCUUGUUUAGAUGUAUUAGUUACAAACUUGUUAUUGUAUUUUGUUGGGGUGACAUGAAGAUAUAACAAACUCUUUACUGUAAGUACAUUGAUUUAUGGAUAAAUGAUCCGUUAGUAGCGAU